UGUGAGGGGCAGGAAGGACAAAUGUCAUAAACCUGUGUGACAUUCCAGAUCCUCAAGGAACCAAGGGGCCAGUGUGACACUGUGGGAAGUUGUGGAACCAAGGGGAUUGUCAUGGCACUGUUGGGACCCAUGGAACCAAGGGGCCAAUGUGACACUCUGGGGUCUCAUGGAAACAAGAGGCCAUUGUGAGCCUGCAGGGCUGUAACACCCCCAGAACACUGAAAUGCUGGGGGGAACCAAAGGUUCCUUCCCUUGAGUUUGGUGCACAGAAGAAACACCAACCAGAUAUUCUCAACAUAGGCAGAUGCAAAGAAUAUUCUUGGUAGGAAGGGACUCACAAGGUCAUCAAGUCCAGCUCUUAAGUGAAUGGCCCACACAGGGAUUGAACCCACAGCCUUAGUGAUAUCAGCACCAUGCUCUAACCAACUGAGUUAAGAGGUCAAAAUGACACAAAAUUUACUGGCAAAAUAUAGACAAUCAAGGAACUUUGGCAAAGGGUUUAAUACAACAUCCACUUCAACACAAAACUCUUAGCAUUGACUUCAUUAACUCAGCCCAUUUAACCUAAAAACCUUUAAGCCUUAAGAUGUUAAGUUACCCAAAAAUGUUCCAGGUAAGUAGAAGAAAUAGAGAACAACAGAAAGACACAAGAUCUAAACAAAGACAUGCACAUAGGUACCAACUGCUCAGGUUCCAGCGUCGCUAAGAGAGGAACUCCAGGAGAAGGCAGGAUCCAGACCAUGGGCUGGCCUCAUGGUCUGGCUUGUAUCACCCUGGGCCUUCAUGGGCCCACCCCUGGGGUGGGACUGCCAGUUGCUUGCCCAAUCAGAGUCAAGCUGAUAGUGUGUGAUUGAUUGACAGCAAAUCAGAGCUGGGUUAGCACUGCCUGCUGUGUGAUUGAUUGAUUUAUUGACAUCUCAGCCAAUCAGACCUGGGUUAGCACCGCUCCUGCUGUGUGAUUGACAGCUCUGCCAGGGCUGGGGGCAGGGCUCCGACCCACCACAAACCAAGGCCUGACCUGGCCCCACACGGGCGUUCCGAGCAUCCCAAGGUGUCUCAGGACAUCGAUCUCAUCCAGCCUCUGACAGUGACCAUGGUGAUACUAUGGAACCUCAUAGAACUAUGGGUCAGUUGGAACAAUGAGGGUCCAAGGACACCAUGGUGACACUACAGAACCUCAUGGAACCAAGGGGCCAUGGUGACACUGUGGUGCCUCGUGGAAUCAAGGAGACUAUUGUGAAACCUGGGGGCCCCAAGGAGCCAAGGGUCCAUAGUGACCUUGUGGAGCCCAUAGUGUCACGGAGGAGCCAUUGUGACACAGCGAGGGCACAUGGAGCUGAGGGGCCAUGGUGACACAUCAGGACUUUGUGGAACCAUUAAGCCAUUGUGACAUUGCAAGGUCUCAUGGAAGCACCGGGCCAUUGUGACACUGCAGAAGCAAGGGAGCUUUGUAACACUCCAGGGCCUGAUGGAACCAAGGAGACCUUUAUGACACUGUGGGGUUCCACAAAACCAAGGGAACAUGGAACUGUUCUGUCUGGCUGGGCCUCCUGGGGGCUGUCUGACUGGUCCAGCUGACCUUGGCAUGUUGAGGGCUGCUUCUCAUCUGUGCCUGAAGCACUGGGGCUCUGGGAUUUAUUUCCUCUGGGAGAGAACUGUGCUUCUCCUCCAGAGGCCCACUGCCAAAAUUGGGAUUCCUCCUCCAAAUUUCCUUAUAUGCAAAUAUUGUUCCCAGAUGAAAUCUGCCAGGACAGACAGGUCUGGUUGCCUUGGCCACCUGGGUGCCUUGUCUCAUCUGCCUUUGAAACACUGGGACCAUGUGCUUUUCUUUCUUGGCCAUACUCAACCAGGCGUCUCUGGCCAAAACUGGGGAAUCUGCCUCCAGAAUUCCCUAUAUACAAGGAUAGCUUGCAGAUAAAAGCUGCCAGGACUGAUAAGUCUGACUGGCCUUGACUUCCUGAGGGUUGACACUCAUCUGCCUUUGAAACAAUGGGGCUCUGUGCUUUCCUUCCUAAUAAAAAGAACUCUUCUUCCUGUCUAGGUGCCCACAGCCAAAACUGAGAUUCCACCUCCAAAAUGCCCUAUGUCCAAGGAUAGCCCCUAGACGAAGAGUGCAAGGAGAGACAGGUGUGGCUGGCUUGACCUAAGGGUGGCCACCUCUCAUCUCCUUCCAGAACACUUGGACUUUGUGCUUUUCUUUCCUAUUGGAAAAAAACCACAUCCAUCUUGACCAGGUGCACAUGGCCAAAAUUGCGAUUCCACCUCCAAAACUCCAUACAGCCAAGAAUUGCUCCCCAGUGAAAGCAGCCAGGACAGACAGGUCUGGCUGCCCUUGGCCUCUUGGGGGCUGCCUCUCAUCUGCUUUCAAAACACUGGGGCUCUGGGUUUUCCUUCCAGUGGAAAAGAACUGUCCUUCUUCUCAAGGUGUCCACUGUCAAAAUUGAGAUUCCUCCUCCCAAAUUCCAUAUAUCCAAGGAUUCCUCCAUGACAAAAGCUUCCAAGACAGAGAGGUCUGGCUGGCAUAGGCCUCCAAUGGCCACCUUUCAUCUGUGUCUCAAACACUGGUGUUCUAUGCUUUCCUUCCUAUGAAAAUAACCAUCUUCUCCUCUGCAUGUCCAUGUCUGAAAUUGGGAUUCCACCUCUGAAAUUUUGUAUAUCCUAGGGUUGCUCCCAGGCAAAAUCUGCCAGUACCAUCAAGUCUGUCUGGCCUUGGUCCCUGGUGACUGCCCCUGAAACACUGGGGCUCAGAUCUUUCCUUCCCAUGGAGAUCAUUGGGACACUGUGGGGACCUCAUGAAACCAAGGGACCAGCCCCAGGCCGGGCCGGCUCGGCCAAGAUUCUGCCACUGUUGGGGUUCACCCACAACCACUGGGCAGGGGGAGGAGAAGCCAUUGGCCCCGGCCGUGCUGCUGCUGUGUUCUGGCCUGGCUGCUGAGAUCAUGGCCCUCCCCCCAGCGUGGCCCAUCCUGACACAGCCCCAGCACAGCCGCUGCAGAAACCUCCAUGGUAAAACAGCUCCGGCCGCAAGGACUGAGCCCAGACGCGGUCACAUAACCGUCUGCAGGCCCUGGGUGAGAUAUUAACUCUUUCAGUGCUUCCAUCCUCCCUUGAGUGAGAGAAAAGGACAAAGUGAAGGCACACAGAGGAGCAACAUGAAGACACAGAGGUCAGUGAAGAGUGUCACGAUCCAUCCUCACGAAUGGGUAUCAUAGUGGUUUGUUAAUUGAUCUCAGAGUGCAAAAAACUGACACAGCAAGAGGGGUUUGCAGUGAUAAUCAAAAGCAAAUGUACCUUUAUUGAAUGACCACAGCAAAAUGUGUUGGGGGGAACUGGGGAGAAAGGGAAAGAAUAAGGAAAAAGAGAGGAGAGAGAAAGGAAGGUAUAUAGCUACCAAACGUGGAACUAUAUAGUCCUUUGCAGUCCAGUCGACGGAGCUUGUCAUAGUCACAUCAGGGGAGAUCUCAGGGAUGCUAGUCAAUUCUAAUAUUUAUUAUAGUCUUUUUGACUGGGGGAAGGGGACACGUUUCAAAAUCAAAUCAAAUGUAAUAAAUAAUAGUCUAUUGAAGAAGGGUACAAAUAGUCCAUAUUUUCAGCAGUAGGUGAGAACCAUUGUCUUCUUGGUCCAGUGGUCACAACCUGCAGGCAAACAUCUUGGUUUGGUCAGCUUGCCUCCCCCUCACACCUUCCCCCGGUUAGAUGGUUUCGGUCUCAGUCCUUGGCAGGAAGGGAGAGCUUUUCCAUCAUGUCCCAGUCCUUGAGGGAGAGGCUUCUACCACCUCAGUAGAAGGGGUGGUAGAUGAAGGGUCUUCUGUGGCGACCACCGAAAGGUCACUCCAGAAAAGUCCAGCCAAGCUGGGAGGUGGGAAAAUUCCAGGAGCACUGUUGUCAAGUGAUACAGGUGAAGAGAAGGGCACAGUGCCCCUUUUCUCUUUUCAGUUGGUGCAGUGUUCCAUGGGGUGGGCAAACACACCUGUGAACAAUGACCUGGCAAGACACAAGCUUUGCUCAGGCUUCCGGGUCUUGGUGGGUGACAAUUCAGGCAGGACCAGGAUCCCAAAACAGGAUCCUUCUUUUUUUGGUAGUCCCGCUUUCUGUCCUUUUCACAAUGAUCAUGAGGCAAAUGAGAGAAAUUUCAGACAGAGACUUACACGACCCCCUGACUCAUGAUUGUCUUGAAAGGAUCUUCAUCAGCAGAUUUCUGGAGCAUCAUUGUCUGUUCAACCCCUUUUGGGAAAAUUGACGGUCUAGGUGUGGCUGACAUGAAACUUCCUUCCACCUGGUACAGACUACACACAAGCUGCAGACUCCUCUGUCUUCAGAAUCCUGUCCAUGACACCAAUUUAAUGUCACAAGCCAUCCUUACAAACGGGUUUCGUGAUGCUUUGUUACUGAUCUCAGGGUGCAAAAAACUGACAUGACAAGGGGGUUUGCAGUGAUAGUCAAGAACAAAUGUACCUUUAUUGAAUGACCACAGCAAAAUGCAUUAGGGAGGGGGGAAUGAGGAAAAAGGGAAAGAAUAAGGAAAAAGAGGGGGGGAAAGAAAAGGAAACAUGGAGUGACAUAGUCCUUCAAAGUCCAGUUGACAAAGUUUGUCAUAUGUGUUGCCUUAUAAGGCGUGACGACCUGGUUCCAAGGAAACGCAGCACGACGACCCAAUGCUUUUUGGGCCGUUCGGGCUAAGGACACGCAGACAUCAAUAUGAUAGACGGUCCAAGAGCCCUUUAUUGGUUUUCUCCUCAGUAUAUAUACCCUUGGUCCUCCUACCUUCCGGGGUCUGACUUUUGCCUUAUAUGGUUAGUAAGGAAACUGGGUGGAGGCCGUGUUAGGGGGGGUUACAUUCUUGGCCUUUUGUCCUGCGGCUAUCUCUUAUCUCUAGGUAGUCAGGGGAGAGAGGCCCUAUCAGGUUUCCGUGACAGCCCGAAAUCUUCCGAUCGCCUGUCCCUAUUCUCUCUGCCACACGUACGCACGUCAGGAGAGAUCUCAAAAUCUCUAGCUAACUCAGGGGUUUUUAUUAUGAUAACUCUAUUGAAAAUUGCAAAGGAGGGGGAAACAGAUACAAUAGUCCAUGUUCUCAGCAAUGGGAGAGAACCAUUGUCUUCUUGGUCCAGUGAUCAGCAAACAUCUUGGUUUGGUCAGCUUGCCUCCCCCACACACCUUCGCCCCUGUGUUAGGGUUUCAGUCUCAGUCCUUGGGAGGAAGGGGGAGCUCUUCCAUAUGGGGAUCUCAUGUCUCAGUCCUUGAGGGAGAGGCUUAUGCCAUCUCAGUCCAUCUGUCACGGUGGUUGUACAGUAGAUGAAGGGUCUUCAGUGGAGACCACCGAAAAGGUCAUUCCAGGGAAAAGUCCAGCCAAGUCGGGAGGUGGGGAAAUUCCAGAACUAGUGUUAUAAAGUGAUGCAGGCAAAGAAGGGCACAGCGCCCCUUUUCCUUUCACUGGACUCCUUUUUCCUGGGAUCAAGGACUCCCUGGAACUCCCCUCUACCUCUCCACAUCCCUGCCCCCCCCAUUUCUGUGAUCCUGAGAUCCCCCUGCACCCCCAUUCCAGAGAACCCAGACGCCCUUUUACCCCUAUGUCCAGCACUGAGACCCCCCUGCACCCCCUUAUCCAGCACCAAUUCAACCUUUUCCCGGUCCCCUGCCUCUCCCAGCCCCAGCCCCACCUUCUUCUCUGACCUGGGACCCCUGGGCCCCCAUUCCUGCCUUUCCCAGCCCCCAGCCUCUCCCCUCCUCAUACUGAGGAGCCCUGGCACCCCCUUUCCUGGAUUCCCUGGACACCCCAUCCCAGUUCUCCCAGUCCUUGCAUCCCCUGUCCUUGACUCUGAGCCCCUGAGCCUCCUUCACAGAUCUGCCAGCUCUCCACGUUCCCCCUUUCCUUGGACUGUGGACCCCCCUGGAUCCCCAAACUCUCACUUUCAGCCUCCCACCUCCCCCAAAUCUCCUUGUCCCCCCCUCCCCCCAGUUCUCCAGGAUAUUGGGAUAGCCAGAGCCGGGAUAUUGAGAUAGCCAAACCUUGGAUAUUGGGAUAGCCAGAGCUGGGAUAUUGGGAUAGCCAGAGCUGGGACAUUGGGAUAGCCAGAGCUGGGAUACUGGGAUAGCCAGAGCUGGGAUACUGGGAUAGAGAGAGCUGGCUCAAGGACAGGAACAGCCCUUUGGCCGACAGUGACCUGGAGACAGGGCUGGUACAACCAGAGUGGGGGGAGUGGGGGAAGCUGGGGGCUGAGCUGGGAUCUGUGGGAAUGGAGGACUGAGGAGCUGGGAUGUGAUCUCUGGGGAUGGGGGGAGUCUGUGGGGCUGGAAUGGAAAUCCAGGGAACUCCAAGGGGCUCUGUAGGACUGGGACACAACUCCAUGGGUCCGUUCUCUCCUCGUUCCCAGGUCUCCACACGCUGCAGGUAGUUUCCACCUGUGACUUCCUGUCCAACAGAGCAUCCAUGGAUCCUACUGGUAAGGCUACAAGAGCUGGGAUUUAAUCUCCUUCCAGCUGGGAGCCAGGAGCUUUGUAGGGUCCUAUGUUGCCACCUGGAUCACCCAGAGGUGCUGGGAAUCCAAAGGGAUCAUGGUGGAGCAGACGAAGCAUUACCUGGCACACACCUGUGUGGAAGUGCCCCAAAAUACAUCAGAUAUGGUUGGGAGGCUCUGGAGUACAAAGCAGCCACUGCCGUUUCCCG
Molecule: long non-coding RNA, 6664 nt
Organism: Passer domesticus (house sparrow)
Lineage: Eukaryota; Metazoa; Chordata; Aves; Passeriformes; Passeridae
Exons: 3
Source: RefSeq, a predicted model, not a curated record